UACGUAGGGGGCUAGCGUUGUCCGGAAUCAUUGGGCGUAAAGCGCGUGUAGGCGGUCCGGUAAGUCCGCUGUGAAAGUCGAGGGCUCAACCCUCGAAUGCCGGUGGAUACUGUCGGGCUUGAGUACGGGAGAGGCGAGUGGAAUUCCUGGUGUAGCGGUGAAAUGCGCAGAUAUCAGGAAGAAUAUCCGUGGCGAAGGCGGCUCUCUGGGACGGUACUGACGCUGAGACGCGAAAGCGUGGGGAGCGAACAGG
Molecule: ribosomal RNA, 253 nt
Filed under: uncultured bacterium
Lineage: Bacteria
Description: partial 16S ribosomal RNA
Rfam family: Bacterial small subunit ribosomal RNA
Source: RNAcentral